UCAAUGAUAUUAAUGAACUGUUUUGUUCUGUAUGUUUAGUUCUGUUUUGUUUUGUAUGUAUUACAUUGAAAUAAUGUGUUCUACCGAUUCUGGUUCAUUACAGUGUAUGCAUUUCUCUGUCGGAUGCUUACCUAUUUUAUACAAUGUAUCAUUCAGUCCUGUAUGACCAAUUCUUAAGCGUGUUAUAAUGGUUUCUUCUUUCCAAUUCUAGCCCCCCAUUCUCCCAGCAGCAACGUGUUUCUCUAUUCUGUACAAGUGUCUACCUGUUUCACCAUUGUCCCAGUGUUCCUGCCAGAUUUUGUGCAUAUGAAAUUAUCCUACAAACACACUACGUAAUGACAACGUUACACUUUGGUCGCAAUUUGGUAAGUCGCAACAUUACCAACAGGUGACGUUGUGACAACAUUGCUCUAUGGUCGCAAAAUAACCUGACCUCAUGGAGACUGUUCUGCAACGUUGCAGUAACGUUAUAGAAUUACGUAAAUACGAUGUAAUUUAAUAACGUAACGAUGACGUUAUAUCACAGUCCUCAUACUUACUUAAUUUGAAACGUUACUGGUAGGUUGUCAGAACGUUUGUAAAUGACGUAUUGGUUUACAGUAAUAUGUCUAUCUGUCACGUUAUAUCCAAUGCAGGGUUUAUUAUUAUUAUUAUGAUGAUUAUGAUUAUGAUGAUUAUUAUUAUUAUUAUUAUUAUUAUUUAUUUAUUUAUUUAUUUAUUUAUUUAAAUAUAGGAUAUGAUGGAUAUGCAGGUAUAGGGUUCUAGGGUGGCUGACAUGGAUAGGGAUUUUAUAGUAGGACUGGGUGUAAAGCAUGGAGGAUAAAAAAUAGCUUAGGGUGAAGGGAUUUUUGAGUGUAAAUCUAUUGUCUGAUACACACUCCGGAGCAGAAGGUGGCGGUAAUUCACCAAUAAGCUGUGUACACCCGCUGUAAAACAAGAAGAAGACGGUAUAUCCAAUCACAUGCGCAUGUUGCUGUGACGUGCUCUUGGAAGAAGGUCGUUGUGAUUUCAAAUUCUCCGUGGGAAAAUCUGGGUUUGACGGCGUUCAAGAGCAGAGUUCUCUACAUUUGGCCCAACAGCUCAAAUGGAAACUAGAGCACAAGAUCAGAAUGAAGCUCCCACACGUGGCCUUAUGACUGUUGCCCCAGUGAAGAACCCGAGGUCCAGCCUUCCCCACUCAAGACAUGCCUGAGACAAGAGUGACUGUAUUCCAAGUUGAUCCAAGGUGAUCCUAACUUAAAUGUAGUUCACCGCUUGAAAAAGACAAAAAUACUCAACACUAUUAAUGUUGAAAUCAUUGGUCUAUGGUUAUUACUGUCCUGAAACGACCCUUUGCCCUUUUUAUUUUUUUGUAUCUAGUUUUGUAUGUUUGUCUCAUCUUCUGUACCAUAAUUAUGCUUGCAAAUAUUGCCUACCUAAAAAUGUAACUUGAACCUGAUCUCAAUGGUAUUCUAUACAAUGACAAUAAAGGCUUUCUAUUCUA
Long non-coding RNA from Anguilla anguilla (European eel), 1483 nucleotides. RefSeq lists it as uncharacterized. The record is from RefSeq and is a predicted model, not a curated record. Lineage: Eukaryota; Metazoa; Chordata; Actinopteri; Anguilliformes; Anguillidae. The transcript is spliced from 3 exons.